UAAGCGGAGGAGAAGAAAUUACGAGGAUCCCUCAGUACGGCGAGUGAAGAGGGAGGAGCCAGCCCGAAGCUGGCGGCUGGUUUGCUGUUAGGUCAAUGUGGUGUGUGGGUCGAUCGGCGGGACCACCACUCCGCUUGAAGUCCAGCAUUGAGUAUGGCAAUCAGUGGAUGUGGCCCAUAGAGGGUGAGAGGCCCGUAGCAGAAGCGAGAGUGGAGGCUAGGCAAGUGAGGUGGUUCACCAGGUCGGCCCUA
This 251-nucleotide ribosomal RNA is filed under the name Taenia asiatica. RNAcentral's name for it is "partial 28S ribosomal RNA". Lineage: Eukaryota; Metazoa; Platyhelminthes; Cestoda; Cyclophyllidea; Taeniidae. The record is from RNAcentral.